UNGGAAUUACUGGGCGUAAAGCGAGCGCAGACGGUUUAUUAAGCAAGAUGUGAANUCCCCGAGCUUAACUUGGGAACUGCGUUUUGAACUGNUAAGCUAGAGUAUGUCAGAGGGGGGUAGAAUUCCACGUGUAGCAGUGAAAUGCGUAGAGAUGUGGAGGAAUACCGAUGGCGAAGGCAGCCCCCUGGGAUAAUACUGACGUUCAUGCUCGAAAGCGUGGGUAGCAAACAGGAUUAGAUACCCUGGUAGUCCACGCCCUAAACGAUGUCAAUUAGCUGUUGGGGCACUUGAUGCCUUAGUAGCGAAGCUAACGCGUGAAAUUGACCGCCUGGGGAGUACGGUCGCAAGAUUAAAACUCAAAGGAAUUGACGGGGACCCGCACAAGCGGUGGAUGAUGUGGAUUAAUUCGAUGCAACGCGAAGAACCUUACCUGGUCUUGACAUGUACGGAAUCUUCCAGAGACGGAAGAGUGCCUUCGGGAGCCGUAACACAGGUGCUGCAUGGCUGUCGUCAGCUCGUGUCGUGAGAUGUUGGGUUAAGUCCCGCAACGAGCGCAACCCUUGUCAUUAGUUGCCACCAUUCAGUUGGGCACUCUAAUGAGACUGCCGGUGACAAACCGGAGGAAGGUGGGGAUGACGUCAAGUCCUCAUGGCCCUUAUGACCAGGGCUUCACACGUCAUACAAUGGUCGGUACAGAGGGUAGCCAAGCCGCGAGGUGGAGCCAAUCUCAGAAAACCGAUCGUAGUCCGGAUUGCACUCUGCAACUCGAGUGCAUGAAGUCGGAAUCGCUAGUAAUCGCAGGUCAGCAUACUGCGGUGAAUACGUUCCCGGGUCUUGUACACACCGCCCGUCACACCAUGGGAGUGGGGGAUACCAGAAGUAGGUAGGCUAACCGCAAGGAGGCCGCUUACCAC
Molecule: ribosomal RNA, 914 nt
Filed under: uncultured bacterium
Lineage: Bacteria
Description: bacterial SSU rRNA
Rfam family: Bacterial small subunit ribosomal RNA
Source: RNAcentral